RNAcentral lists this ribosomal RNA (568 nucleotides) under Didymella glomerata. Its description in RNAcentral is "eukaryotic LSU rRNA". The stretch from base 196 to 349 matches the Rfam family "5.8S ribosomal RNA". The record is from RNAcentral. Lineage: Eukaryota; Fungi; Ascomycota; Dothideomycetes; Pleosporales; Didymellaceae.
GGAAGUAAAAGUCGUAACAAGGUUUCCGUAGGUGAACCUGCGGAAGGAUCAUUACCUAGAGUUGUAGGCUUUGCCUACCAUCUCUUACCCAUGUCUUUUGAGUACCUUCGUUUCCUCGGCGGGUCCGCCCGCCGAUUGGACAAAAUUCAAACCCUUUGCAGUUGCAAUCAGCGUCUGAAAAAACAUAAUAAUUACAACUUUCAACAACGGAUCUCUUGGUUCUGGCAUCGAUGAAGAACGCAGCGAAAUGCGAUAAGUAGUGUGAAUUGCAGAAUUCAGUGAAUCAUCGAAUCUUUGAACGCACAUUGCGCCCCUUGGUAUUCCAUGGGGCAUGCCUGUUCGAGCGUCAUUUGUACCUUCAAGCCUUGCUUGGUGUUGGGUGUUUGUCUCGCCUCUGCGCGCAGACUCGCCUCAAAACAAUUGGCAGCCGGCGUAUUGAUUUCGGAGCGCAGUACAUCUCGCGCUUUGCACUCAUAACGACGACGUCCAAAAAGUACAUUUUUUACACUCUUGACCUCGGAUCAGGUAGGGAUACCCGCUGAACUUAAGCAUAUCAAUAAGCGGAGGA